This 499-nucleotide ribosomal RNA is filed under the name Streptomyces sp. SID7909. RNAcentral describes it as "bacterial SSU rRNA". It matches the Rfam family "Bacterial small subunit ribosomal RNA", at positions 1 to 515 of the family's 1533-position model. The record is from RNAcentral. Lineage: Bacteria; Bacillati; Actinomycetota; Actinomycetes; Kitasatosporales; Streptomycetaceae.
CAUUCACGGAGAGUUUGAUCCUGGCUCAGGACGAACGCUGGCGGCGUGCUUAACACAUGCAAGUCGAACGAUGAAGCCCUUCGGGGUGGAUUAGUGGCGAACGGGUGAGUAACACGUGGGCAAUCUGCCCUUCACUCUGGGACAAGCCCUGGAAACGGGGUCUAAUACCGGAUAAUACUUUCUCCCUCCUGGGAGAAGGUUGAAAGCUCCGGCGGUGAAGGAUGAGCCCGCGGCCUAUCAGCUAGUUGGUGGGGUAAUGGCCUACCAAGGCGACGACGGGUAGCCGGCCUGAGAGGGCGACCGGCCACACUGGGACUGAGACACGGCCCAGACUCCUACGGGAGGCAGCAGUGGGGAAUAUUGCACAAUGGGCGAAAGCCUGAUGCAGCGACGCCGCGUGAGGGAUGACGGCCUUCGGGUUGUAAACCUCUUUCAGCAGGGAAGAAGCGAAAGUGACGGUACCUGCAGAAGAAGCGCCGGCUAACUACGUGCCAGCAGC